ACCAUCCGGCCAGCUGGGGGAACCUGGCUCUUCCUAAGUUCCACUACCCUACUGCCAUUGGUCCUUGGUGGCCUGGGGUCUUCCUGGGUGCCUAACCACCAAUCUCCCCCAUCUUGGCAAGAGAAUGUGCAUUAGUAAGGGAUAUUCCUCUGGCCUUGGUCUGAUUCGAACCUGUGAUAGCAUGUUGGCACACCCUGUAGCAGUCGCGCUUACACGGGCUCAUAACCUAUUAGGCCACUAGGGCAAAAGAGCUCAAUCACCACCAGCGCCAUGGUGGUAUAGAGGCAAUAGAUGUAUUUCCGGUAUUGACGCGGAAAAUGUUAAACUGACAAACUGAUUCCUCAACCCCAUACCCUGGAGCCCUCCGGCUCCCAAACACGCAGAUAUCUUUUUAUUUGAGUUGGACAGGAGAAACAGGGAUUACUAUCUAGGUGGCCCGGGACAUCUGCUAUUUGGGGAAUCACAAAUUCGACACAACGAUUUCAUAGUUUUAUUUGAGACAGGUGUAUCAAAUCUAUUUAACAGAAGUCCUUUCUCCGAUCUGAGCAUGACUACUUCUUCCUUGGCUUUUUGAAUUGCUCGGGUGGCUGCUCAGGCACCUGAGUGAAGGAGGUGGAUGGGGUGAUAUCUGCUGAACCGAUGAAGCUUGGUUGGCGGUCGUCAUCCUCAAAGGAUUCAGCAUUUGACCGCUGAGAGAACUGAAGUUCCGUCAUACGCCAAUACUAGACCAGGAGCCCAUCAUGCCCCCACACUCAUACUCUGCACACUCAUACUCUGCCUUGGGUCUUCAUAAGAUAGUUGCGCUCCAACAUGCAAGUUAUAUAUACUUGGGAAAAACUACAGCUGCAUUUUGCCCAAUUGCUUGGAGAGGAAAGGCAACUGCUCUGUCGAACACAAACUAGCGAGAUUUAAUUGUGGAGUCCGCAUGGAUGAUGUAUUUUAAUUACAUGAAACCUAUCGUGUGAGUGAGCAAGUGGUUAGAAACCCUGUUUACUCAGAUUGUUUAUCCUGAGA
This 1014-nucleotide small RNA is filed under the name Histoplasma capsulatum. RNAcentral's name for it is "hypothetical RNA". Lineage: Eukaryota; Fungi; Ascomycota; Eurotiomycetes; Onygenales; Ajellomycetaceae. The record is from RNAcentral. RNAcentral also lists the same sequence under 1 other name.